This is a small nuclear RNA of Mesocricetus auratus (golden hamster), 107 nucleotides long. Lineage: Eukaryota; Metazoa; Chordata; Mammalia; Rodentia; Cricetidae. The record is from Ensembl.
AUACUGGCUUUGACAGCACAUAUGCUAAAAUUGGAACUAUACAGAGAAAGUUAGCAUUACCCCUGUACAAGGAAGACACACAAAUUCAUGAAGCAUUCCAUGUAUUU